UACGGGGGGGGCAAGCGUUGUUCGGAAUUACUGGGCGUAAAGGGCUCGUAGGUGGCCAACUAAGUCAGACGUGAAAUCCCCAGGCUCAACUUGGGAACUGCGUCUGAUACUGGAUGGCUUGAAUCCGGGAGAGGGAUGUGGAAUUCCAGGUGUAGCGGUGAAAUGCGUAGAUAUCUGGAGGAACACCGGUGGCGAAGGCGGCAUCCUGGACCGGUAUUGACGCUGAGGAGCGAAAGCCAGGGGAGCAAACGGG
Molecule: ribosomal RNA, 253 nt
Filed under: uncultured bacterium
Lineage: Bacteria
Description: partial 16S ribosomal RNA
Rfam family: Bacterial small subunit ribosomal RNA
Source: RNAcentral